RNAcentral lists this long non-coding RNA (937 nucleotides) under Pavo cristatus (Indian peafowl). Its description in RNAcentral is "lncRNA (ENSPSTG00000002031.1)". The record is from RNAcentral. Lineage: Eukaryota; Metazoa; Chordata; Aves; Galliformes; Phasianidae.
AUGGCAGAGCAGCCCCAGCGCUCGGCGCUCCGCACCUCGGGACGGCCGCCCCGAGCCCUCCGCGCGGGCUGUGGCCCGGCCCCCGGGGCUGAGCGAACCGCCACGCCGCCGCGCCGCGCCCGAGGAGAGCCGGGCCCCGCAGCGGAGCGGAGCGGCGCUGGCGCAGCGGAGUCGGGGCCGCCGCUAUUUAGGGCGGGCGCGGCCGGAGCCGCCACAGCACGGAGAGGAACGGUGGGACCGCAGGAAAUUCCUUUGUCUCUAUUCAGGAUUUUCCCUUGGUUGAAUAAAAGGUUUUCUCCUGUGUGGGAUGUGUGAUCAGCCUGGUGUUCAGAUCCCCUUAGCCAGCCCUACUCUUCCUCUUUCGAGGGAAGCACCACCAGUCAUUGCAGCCGUUCACCGUGUGCGUGACCGGGAGCAUCUCAGUACGUGGAACAUUCUGUGAGCUUCAGCGCCGACACACUGCGUUCUGGUUCCCAAUACAGCAUUUGAAGACUGGAUGUUUGUUGAAGAGAAAGCCAGAAUGGUCUGGAGGAAUAAACAAGAAGAGAGCUCUGCACUGUUCGGAAACAGGUCCUGAUCUACAGAUCUGGCAGAAAUUAGGUUUACAGCAGGAAUCCAGGCAGUAUUCUAUUAUCUCUUGGGUACUCUACCAGUAGAGAUCUUUAUAAAUACCAGAAGUGUGACAUUCAGAUAUUAGAGUGGAAGUGAAAAUACUCUUGAGUAUUACUCUUGAGUAAUACUCUUUGUCCCAAACGUUGGGGCAUAGGUUACAUGCCCAGAUGUUUCUAUUUCAGCCUCUCACUCUCCAGUAUUGAGUUACGCAGCUGCUGUUUCCAACAAGUUGGUUUUUCUUCAGUGUUGGGCUCUAGUAUGAGAAGUUGUAAUUCAGCAAAAAGGUGAGCAUCUUUCUUCAUCAUCCUGGAAAGAUUACAGUGAA